GUCCGCCUACGGGGGGCAGCAGCGGGGAAUAUUGGGCAAUGGGCGAAAGCCUGACCCAGCGACGCCGCGUGAGGGAAGAAGGUCUUCGGAUUGUAAACCUCUUUCAGCAGGGAAGAAGAAAGUGACGGUACCUGCAGAAGAAGUCACGGCUAACUACGUGCCAGCAGCCGCGGUAAUACGUAGGUGGCGAGCGUUAUCCGGAAUGAUUGGGCGUAAAGGGUGCGCAGGCGGUCCUGCAAGUCUGGAGUGAAACGCAUGAGCUCAACUCAUGCAUGGCUUUGGAAACUGGAGGACUGGAGAGCAGG
This 305-nucleotide ribosomal RNA is filed under the name uncultured bacterium. Its description in RNAcentral is "bacterial SSU rRNA". It matches the Rfam family "Bacterial small subunit ribosomal RNA", at positions 333 to 652 of the family's 1533-position model. The record is from RNAcentral.